UGCGUGCUGAGCGAGGGGAUGCCGCAAGCGAUUAGUUACUGGUGUUGCUAGGGGCGAGGGGUUGCGGGAGUUUCUGGAGUUUUAGGGCCCCUUUUAUUGUAUCGCGUAACUGCGCAGGCCUCUGUUAGUGUCAAAACAGCACACUGUUAGUGUCAAAGUCUAUUUACUGCACUUUUCUCGUGUACACUGGCCAAUAUCGAGAGCAGUCGUUUUAAUGUUAAAUACGUAAAAAAUAUAGUUUAAUCAUAACUAUUUGUUGCAGCUAGUCGCGUCAGUUUAUGACGAUAGAAUGAAGAAAGGCAUGUUGCUAUGAAUAUUAUAAUGGAUUUAAAACAGGUCACUCUCGUAAUUAAGGUCAAAUAUUGCUCGACACGUUUAACCAAUAUGAGUCUUAAUUACUACUUACAAGAUGUCUAGUGUCACGGGGGUUUUCUAUUUUUACAGUUAAAGUCAAUGUUUAGGGAAAAAGCGUCUGCGAAGUUGUAUAUUUAAAUUGUAGAUUUUUUUUGGUUAAUUAUGUAAUGUACUGAUGAUCAUGAUAGCAAGAUCAAAAUAGUUUUGACAUGAUGCAAUAUUAUAGUGUAAUUUUUUUCAUAGAAUAAAGAAAUCGAGUUCAACCUAAUCUUAAAUACUACCUUGUAUUACUCAAUGAUCUAUGUAUGAACGACCUAAGCUCUACUUCGCAUUUCAAACAGAAAAGCGGCAUUGGAACUUUCAAAAUAUUAACUUGAAUAUUGGUUUCGCAUCUCGCGCCGAAUAAUACAUUAUCCAAGAGUUCAAACGAGACGUACUGCCGGGUCUGAGUUCCUAUUAACCUCUCUCAAUACAUCUAUCAAUAUUAUUCAUUAAACAAUACUGUAUUAACAAUCCGAAUUUACGUUUUUUUAAUCGUGUCCUUGGCAACCCUAUUAUACGUACACUAAAAUCGGCUUAACUACAAUACAUGUGCUAUAUUGUUGUGCAUUUACAUAAAUACUAAGAGCUGGCAAACGAGCAGACGGAUCACCUGAUGGUAGUUAGAAAUCUCCAGGAUGGCUACAUGAUACCUAAUUCUUCAAAUUAAAAACGACCGAUUGUAUUAAAGCUAUCAUAUUACGACCUUGUCAAUAGGAUAAU
This is a long non-coding RNA of Cydia pomonella (codling moth), 1116 nucleotides long. RefSeq lists it as uncharacterized. The record is from RefSeq and is a predicted model, not a curated record. NCBI's taxonomy places the organism in Eukaryota, Metazoa, Arthropoda, Insecta, Lepidoptera, Tortricidae. The transcript is spliced from 3 exons.